CGGGGGGUGCGAGCGUUGUCCGGAAUCACUGGGCGUAAAGGGCGCGUAGGUGGUUUGAUAAGGGUGUGGUGAAAGCCCGGGGCUCAACCCCGGGUCUGCCGUGCCGACUGUCAAACUCGAGGGCUGUAGAGGCAGACGGAAUUCCGGGUGUAGCGGUGGAAUGCGUAGAGAUCCGGAGGAAGACCGGUGGCGAAGGCGGUCUGCUGGGCAGUUUCUGACACUGAUGCGCGACAGCGUGGGGAGCAAACAGGAUUAGAUACCCUGGUAGUCCACGCCGUAAACGAUGGGUACUAGGUGCCUGGGGGAGCGACCCUCUGGGUGCCGGCGCUAACGCAGGAAGUACCCCGCCUGGGGAGUACGACCGCAAGGUUG
RNAcentral lists this ribosomal RNA (372 nucleotides) under uncultured organism. RNAcentral's name for it is "bacterial SSU rRNA". It matches the Rfam family "Bacterial small subunit ribosomal RNA", at positions 526 to 896 of the family's 1533-position model. The record is from RNAcentral.